Cyprinus carpio carpio is the source of this 1280-nucleotide long non-coding RNA. Lineage: Eukaryota; Metazoa; Chordata; Actinopteri; Cypriniformes; Cyprinidae. The record is from Ensembl.
GUACGUAUAUGUGUGAGUGUGUAUGUAUGUAGGAGUUUGUGUAUUUGUAGGCCUGGAGAGUUGCGAUUCAAUCUAGAUGCCUCAGUCCGCAGAUUGAGAUAGCUUCACAGCAAGUUGCCAUGGAGACAGCCUUGGUCAGGUCCUAGACAGAGUCAACAAUCAACAGGUGUCUGUGGAAGAGGGGGAGAAAUGCAAGAGCGUCUCACUGCAGUGCUCCUCCGGGAGAGUUGUUAUUUCCAACAUUUACCUUGGCCAAUAGCUGGUAGAGGGAGCUGAAAGAAGAUAAGAUUCCAAUUGUUUGGUCUUGGGGCAAGUAGCCGCAUUCCAAUUUCACGGUCACUCUCUUGUCCAUUCUGGUCUCCAAAUCAUGACGGGCAGCCUUGUGAGGCUUUGGACAGCUGUUCCCGUUUUCUGAAUUUUUCGAUAACCCAGGACAAAGCCUAGUCCAAUCAGCAGAAGACCUGUUAUCAUGGUUCCGAGUAGGUAGAUGUCUUCAAUGUCCUCCACGGAAAAAGCUGCCAGACACACGACCCGCCAUCUCUCCCACGCGUGUCAUCGUGUAGCCAGCUGCGAACGUUCCGGCAGGGCAGUCAGGUUCCCCCGAACCCAAGCUUCUCAUCGAGAAGAUGGUGUCAAUUGCGUUGAGAGACCAGUCGAUCAAAUCAAAUCCAUGUUUUCCAGUUUUGGAGAGCAGUGCAGAGAGAGUCUCUCAGAGUAGAUGAGACGAGAGAGCAAGCAGGGAAGGCAAGGGGAGGAGAGAGAGAGAAAAGCGUCCGCCUCCGUUGAGAGCCAAAGAAGAACUCUUCUGGCUCUUCUAACUCUGGCACUUCACUGUUUAUUUUAGACGUAAAAUAAACAGUGAAAUGCUUGGCAGCAGAGGGUGCCAAAUGUUUACCAUUAAUGGAAAUAAUGGUUAAAGAACAUAAAAAAAAACAGUCAGUGACUGGCAGAAGCAGUUGCCAAACAAAAAAUUAAGUUAACCAUCAGCUAACAACAGCGCACAAGCAAAAACUAAUAACUACAUCAGCAACUCCACAGUUACUGCCUUUAAAUAAAGCGACAUGCAGCUUAAUAAAGUUUGAAGUCAUCGUUGUGGAUAUAAGCAUUUGCUUUAGUUGGGCUUCUGACCCUUGACUUUUUAACAAUAUAUGUAUUUUUUUUUCUAAUGCUGUAAACGUACUUUUCUAAAGCAUAUUUGUUACAGCAAAACCUGUGAGGAAAAUUAUAGUCGGAUGAAGUUGUUUACUUACUGAUGAUGAUCUUGACAUCACUUAUUACAA